GAGCCAGGAAAGUUGAUCAAACUCCGUCAUUUAGAGGACAUAAAAGUCGUAACAAGGUAACCUAGGGUGGGGGAUAACGUAACGAAAGUUACGCUAAUACCACAUACGAUCUACAGAUGAAGGUGGGGGAUGCGCAAGCACCUCAUGCGCGUGAAGCGGCAGAUAUCUGAUGGGCUGGUUGGGGGGGUAAAGGCCUACCAAGGCUACCAUCAGUAGCUGGUCUGAGAGGACGACCAGCCACGCUGGAACUGACACACGGUCCAGACUCCUACGGGAGGCAGCAGUGGGGAAUUUUGGACAAUGGGGGCAACCCUGAUCCAGCAGUGCCGCGAGAGUGAAGAAGGCCUUCGGGUUGUAAAGCUCUUUUGUCAGGGAAGAAACUGCGGGGGCUAAUAUCUCCUGCUAAUGACGGUACCUGAAGAAUAAACACCGGCUAACUACGUGCCAGCAGCCGCGGUAAUACGUAGGGUGCAAGCAUUAAUCGGAAUUACUGGGCGUAAAGCGUGCGCAGGCGGUUUGGUAAGACAUAUGUGAAAUCCCCGGGCUUAACCUGGGAAUUGCAUUUGUGACUGCCCGGCUAGAGUGUGUCAGAGGGUGGUCGAAUUCCACGUGUAGCAGUGAAAUGCCUAGAGAUGUGGAAGAAUACAGAUAGCGAAGGCAACCUCCUGGGAUAACACUGACGCUCAUGCACGAAAGCGUG
This 700-nucleotide ribosomal RNA is filed under the name uncultured Herbaspirillum sp. Its description in RNAcentral is "bacterial SSU rRNA". It matches the Rfam family "Bacterial small subunit ribosomal RNA", at positions 64 to 763 of the family's 1533-position model. Lineage: Bacteria; Pseudomonadati; Pseudomonadota; Betaproteobacteria; Burkholderiales; Oxalobacteraceae. The record is from RNAcentral.